RNA transcript from Zea mays, 3321 nucleotides. RefSeq lists it as uncharacterized. Lineage: Eukaryota; Viridiplantae; Streptophyta; Magnoliopsida; Poales; Poaceae. The record is from RefSeq and is marked validated. The transcript is spliced from 11 exons.
UCCGCACCUACAACGACGGCGCCAUGCGUAAUGGCAAAUUUCUCCUCCCGCCCUCCGCCUCCGCCGCGUCGCUGCUCGAUGACCACGUCAUGCGACGGGGAAGUACAAGGACAUGGUCUACCUGCUCUCUGGUGCGAGGGUGCGGCUCUGGUGCGAGAGAGCGAGAGAGAAGGGAGAUAUCUGCGAGGAGGGAAGGGAAAACUCGAUGGCGAUGGAGAACUUCAACGACAGUAAUCGUGGUUCGAACCGUUUAAUGGAGUCGUCAUGUUCAUUUUAGAGCGUUAGUUAUGCUCAGUUUUUUUAUAAUGAAGAAACCCUCACCUAAGUCUCUAAUUCGUCGAAGCCGGCACCGGUGGACUUUCAUAAUGGCAAAUUUCUCACUGCGGUAGGAGAAGCACAACACUAUGGCGAUGAAGCGAGUUUUAUUUGCCAACAGUAGGCUUUUGUAGAAAUGGAUCACACUCUGCACCUUCCCGAUUCGCAGACAAGUAUUCAGCUUCUAUGGAUACAAUUGCAGCAAGCACAUUCAAGCAGCUAUGCAGAUACAAUUGCGAAAACAAGUAUUCGUCAGCAAAUGCACAAGUAUUCAGCAAGCACAUUCACAUCCUGCAUCUUCCCGUUCCCUGAUGCGGAGUCACAGCAAUGGCAUGGACAGUAGACAGUUGAUGCGACGGCUACGCUGCUGGUGGAUGAAGGGCGCUGAGGGAUGGCGAGCUACGAUGGGGGUGGGAGUGGGGGCAGGUGGCAGGGAGCGUGCUGGCUGGAAGAGAGCGAGCUCGGUGAUGGCCAUGUGCGCCGUAGCGUCGGAGAACCACCAGACACCGGGGGGGGGGGGGGGGGGGGGGGGUGAGAGCUGUGCAGGCGGCGGGGCACGCUCUAGCUGGGGAACGACGAGCUCGGCAAAGGCGAUGAACGCCGAAGAUUUACAAUGGAGAACCACCACUCCACCAGCCGACGCGCGUACAGUUGCGUCGGGCAGAGGUACAGGCGUACAGCCGUCGGAUGUCACAAUGCUGAUGUCGAGCUUAGCUGAUUCAAUUUGGGUGGAGAAGGGAAGGAGAAAGAGAACACAGGUCCCACAUGUAAUAGCUUGAGGUCCACAUGUACGACGGACGGAAAGUUACCGUGAUGCCAAUUCUGAGUUGAAGUGGAUGUAGGAGGAAACUGAGCAAUCAAUUUGGGCAGCGGAGCAAAGUGACCAGACUCAGGGUGCGCUUGUAAAAAACCCAAAAAUAAAACACUGUGAAUACCCCUAUUCUCCAUUUCUCCUUCCGCCGCCGCACUUGUCCCCUGACCCUAGGUCAAAGUAUCGCCGACUUCGCCAGCCGGAUCAUGUCGACCAGCGCCAACCCGAAACUGAAGCGGCGGCGGGGGGGCUUGCGGAAGCAGGGUCCUGGGUACCCCACGGUGGCCACCACGGGGGCAAUGUUUGCCCAUGAGGUGGGCGCCGAAGGGCCACGGAGGGACACGAGGCAAGGACCCGCGUUGCCUAGGGUGGUUGCCACCUCGACCAGGGGAGGAGGUGCCAUUGAGCAGGGCGCUGACGGAAUGGAAGGUUCGGCGUCGAAAACUGAUAGGAGCGUUCACGAGGCAGUUGGCGUCGAUGGCACGUACCUCACCGAGACACGGUUUGAUCAAUGUGCCAUUUCUCCACUGUCACUGAAAGCCAUCAAAGAUGCUGGAUAUGAGAGGAUGACUCGGGUGCAGGAGGCUACUCUGCCAAUAAUUCUUCAAGGAAAGGAUGUUCUUGCAAAAGCGAAGACAGGAACAGGGAAAACAGUUGCCUUUUUGCUUCCAGCCAUCGAAGUUCUCUCUGCAUUACCUCGUUCAACUUCUAUAAAUUUGCUGGUGAUGUGCCCUACCAGGGAGCUUGCAAACCAAUUGGCUGCUGAGGCCAGGAAGCUUCUCAAGUAUCAUCGCUCACUGGGUGUGCAGGUUGUAAUAGGUGGCACACGGUUACCUCAAGAGCAACGGAGCAUGCAAGCUAACCCAUGUCAGAUUCUUGUUGCUACUCCUGGAAGGCUAAAGGAUCAUCUUGAGAACACGCCUGGAUUCUCCACCCGAAUUAGAGGUGUCAAGGUUCUUGUUCUAGAUGAGGCUGACCGCCUGUUGGAUAUGGGAUUUAGAAGAGACAUUGAGAAAAUAAUUACUUUCAUCCCUAAAGAUAGGCAAACACUGCUGUUUUCUGCUACUGUUUCAGAAGAGAUCCACCAAAUUUCUCACCUCGCAAUGAGAAAGGAUUAUGAUUUCAUUAACGCUGUUCAAGAGGGUGAUGAGGAGACACAUGCCCAGGUAAACCAAACGUACAUGGUUGCACCUCUAGGUCUGCACCUCCCCAUAUUGUAUGAUGUGUUGAAGAAGCAUGUUGCAGAAGAUGCAGAAUACAAAGUUAUAGUAUUCUGUACUACUGCAAUGGUUACAAGACUUGUUGCUGAGGUACUCUCCCAGCUAAAACUGAAUAUAAGAGAGAUUCAUUCCAGAAAGACACAAUCUGCAAGAACUAAGGUCUCAGAUGAAUUCAGGAAGUCAAAGGGUCUCAUAUUAGUCAGCUCCGACGUAUCUGCCCGUGGUGUAGAUUAUCCUGAUGUCACCCUUGUCAUGCAAGUUGGUCUGCCAGCUGAUAGAGAACAGUAUAUACAUAGACUCGGAAGGACUGGACGGAAAGGCAAGGAAGGGCAAGGCAUCUUACUACUGGCUCCCUGGGAAAUGCAUUUUCUUAGUACAGUUAACGAUUUGUCAAUAUCAGAGGCUGCAACACCUUCGGUUGAUUCAAGCAUUCAGGCAGCAGUCAAAGACGCAGUCAGAAGAGUGGAGAUGAAGAGCAAGGAAUCAGCCUACCAGGCAUGGCUGGGGUACUACAACUCGCACAAGGCUACCAACCGUGACAAGGCCAGACUCGUGAUGCUGGCUGAAGAGUUCAGUCAGAGCAUUGGGCUCGCAGUCCCGCCAGCCAUUCCCAAACAAAUUCUACGGAAGAUGGGCCUCAGCAACGUUCCUGGGCUCCGGUCUUCGUAACUAACCGUGGUGAUCCAGAUCCAGCAGAACUUGACCAGUGCUUGUACCAGCUUGCUAAACGCUGGCUCUUCCACCACCAUCGCUGCACGUUCAAACAGGCCCUACGAUUAGUAUUCAACUAUGUCAUGUUUUCAUUCAAAAGGGCACGGGCUCGUAUCAAUCAGUUCCGGGGAGGAAAAGAAAAUGUAUGUAUUUGCUGGCACUGGCAGCACCACAUGUGAGACAUGCCAGUUGAUAUAUUCAUUGUGAUAGUAGACUUGUCCUGCUACAUUUAUUUCCGAAGUUAUUGGCAUUGCAAUUCUCGCA